CAGACAGAGGACCGAGAGAGAUCAGCUCCACACACCAUGAACUAUCUCCGUGUUUUGAUGUUGGUGGUGGUGGUGAUGGCCGCGGUGUGCGGGGCCAUGGCCGGCCCUCUACCUGAUCCACAAGGCGGUGUUGGUGGUCAUGGUUCCAAAGGCCGCCCACAGGGUGGCAACAGAGGUAGUAGCCUAGGCGGCGCCCAUGGCGGUCAUGGUUUCGGCACAGGACUCGGCCAAAGAGGCAGUCCUGGCAGACUCCAAGGCGGCGGCGCGCAUGGCACCAAGGGAAACAGGGGCUAAGGUGGCAGCCAUAGUGGGAAUUCCCUAUGGACUGAGGCGCCAUACUGCAUAGCAGCUGAAGGGACUAGUGAACGACACCUGCCCGAGAACAACCAUCGCCCACUGACACCUCUCCUCAAUAUCAACAUUGAAACAUCUCCAACACAUCAGCCUUACCUGGACACCACAAUAUCAAAAUAUAUUUGCUAAAAAAUGUGAUAUAUUAUGUCAAGUAAAAAAAAAAGAGGGUUCUUCCAUACUCUCUUAAUUUUUUGUGUUCAUUAUAUAAUUCGAUAAAAUAAAUAUAGCAUAAAA
Long non-coding RNA from Procambarus clarkii (red swamp crayfish), 588 nucleotides. RefSeq lists it as uncharacterized. The record is from RefSeq and is a predicted model, not a curated record. Lineage: Eukaryota; Metazoa; Arthropoda; Malacostraca; Decapoda; Cambaridae.